GAAUGCUGACAUAAGUAACGAUAAAGCGGGUGAAAAGCCCGCUCGCCGGAAGACCAAGGGUUCCUGUCCAACGUUAAUCGGGGCAGGGUGAGUCGACCCCUAAGGCGAGGCCGAAAGGCGUAGUCGAUGGGAAACGGGUUAAUAUUCCCGUACUUGGUGUUACUGCGAAGGGGGGACGGAGAAGGCUAUGUUGGCCGGGCGACGGUUGUCCCGGUUUAAGCGUGUAGGUGUGUGUUCCAGGUAAAUCCGGUUCACUUUAACACUGAGGCGUGACGACGAGGCACUACGGUGCUGAAGCAACAAAUGCCCUGCUUCCAGGAAAAGCCUCUAAGCAUCAGGUAACAUCAAAUCGUACCCCAAACCGACACAGGUGGUCAGGUAGAGAAUACCAAGGCGCUUGAGAGAACUCGGGUGAAGGAACUAGGCAAAAUGGUGCCGUAACUUCGGGAGAAGGCACGCUGACA
RNAcentral lists this ribosomal RNA (464 nucleotides) under Salmonella enterica subsp. enterica serovar Heidelberg. RNAcentral describes it as "partial 23S ribosomal RNA". It matches the Rfam family "Bacterial large subunit ribosomal RNA", at positions 1292 to 1756 of the family's 2925-position model. Lineage: Bacteria; Pseudomonadati; Pseudomonadota; Gammaproteobacteria; Enterobacterales; Enterobacteriaceae. The record is from RNAcentral. RNAcentral also lists the same sequence under 10 other names.